This 87-nucleotide microRNA precursor is filed under the name Pelobates cultripes (western spadefoot toad). The stretch from base 7 to 78 matches the Rfam family "mir-133 microRNA precursor family". From Rfam's summary of the family: mir-133 was first experimentally characterised in mouse and homologues have since been discovered in several other species. Lineage: Eukaryota; Metazoa; Chordata; Amphibia; Anura; Pelobatidae. The record is from RNAcentral.
ACUGCCUGGCUGCAGCUGGUGAAAAGGAACCACAUCAACCCUGCACAGGAUUUGGUCCCCUUCAACCAGCCGCAACUGGGUAGGCUA